GUAAAAUUUGCAUUUUUUUCAUUGUUUUUGGCUUAUAUUUUCUUAUUUUUCGUUUAGGUCAUUUGUCAUCGCUUUCAAUAUUCAGAAGUCAGAUCUUCAUCUUCAUGCAUUCCUCUUUUUCUUUUUUAUUUUAUUCACUGAAACAUGUUGGAGUUUGGGAAAUGAUGAAAAAAAAAGAAAAAGAUAAAUACAGGUAAGCAGAAGGCUCCAAUGGGUGAGCUAUGCUGAAUGUUUUUGCACGUCAGUCUGAUCCCAAAACUCUGUUCAUGUCUUUGUCUUUUUUCUGCCCCUUCGCGGUGUCUGUUCCCCCUUUGUGGUCGCUAUCUUUCCCUAUGCCCAGGUCUGGUGCUAAAAUACGCUGGUGUGCCUAUCUUCCAACAGAGGGCGUUAGCGCAGAGGCCCCGCGACAGGGAGCGUUCCCCCUCUUUGUUCUCGAUCUUGGACCCUUGUGUGGAAGUCUACGCCAAGCUGUCACUCUCCCUACCUUCUCGGUUACCUGUUUCAUGUUCCCCCAUCUUAUAAUUUCGAGGAGUUGAUAUCCGUGAAGGUAACAUGCUUGUGGACGGUCGAGAGCUCUGAGGAGAUUCCCCCAGCUAAAGCCAUUUUUCAUUGCUGGCAAAGUUUAUUGUCUUUUGCUCUGCUCUGUUUCUCCCUUUGCUCUACUGGAAGACCCAAAUCACUUGCUCGUGGACAUUUUAUAUUCCUACCCUGUUCUUUUGCCUUAUUUAUCACCACUUGGGUUUCAUCUCUUCCCCACAAAUAUAAGAAUGUGGAACCCUGGUGGACUCUGAUCCUCCAUCAAAUCACAUGGACCCCACAUACCUCCAUCUCUUUGUCGGACUACUCUGAUCUUGCACAUGCAUGUAUGCUUUGGGACGGUCCAGUGCUGAUUAGUGAUUUUUCUUCCCCACCAGCACUUAACAUUAUCAUAAGCUACAUUGAAUUCCCAAGCCACCUUUCUCUUUCAAAUCUCCUUCUUCCCCACUAUAUAAGAAGGAGGCUAUCGAGUCUGUGUCUAACAGUACAAUAUUAAUUGAUUUCUUUCUUGGGUGGAUAAGCUCUAUAUGAGUAGCUGGUCAUCCCAUUGAAAUUUAAUGGGUCAAUGGGUGUCUUUGAUGUUGCCUUGUUUUUUCCGUUAGAAUUGAUGCUGUUCUGUUGACAUAACUUUUCUAAUUAAUUGGACAUUGGAUUUUUGAAUU
Long non-coding RNA from Macadamia integrifolia, 1199 nucleotides. RefSeq lists it as uncharacterized. The record is from RefSeq and is a predicted model, not a curated record. NCBI's taxonomy places the organism in Eukaryota, Viridiplantae, Streptophyta, Magnoliopsida, Proteales, Proteaceae. The transcript has 2 exons.